AAAAACCACAAAAGAAAUUUUGACAUACCUGAAAGUCUACUUGCUUUGGUGGAGUCCUCCUUGGCUUUUCGUUUUAACUUUUGUACACCAACUAGGACUUAUCAAACCACAGCAGCACAGUUGUCCUACCUCUAAUGGUGAUCCACACAGUGAUUUGCCGAAAUCUCUUCACUAAGAGUGUGUGAAUCCCUAAGCCAAAGUUUGUGCUAGCAAACUCUCAACUUUGAGCUCCCUUGUGUUUCUCUCUUUUUUGCUAUGAUCCUAUCUCAAC
This 271-nucleotide long non-coding RNA is filed under the name Theobroma cacao (cacao). Its description in RNAcentral is "long non-coding RNA (TCAC_LNC003083)". The record is from RNAcentral. Lineage: Eukaryota; Viridiplantae; Streptophyta; Magnoliopsida; Malvales; Malvaceae.